UCCACAACCUGCAGAUGCAUCACUGAGGGUGGAAGGAGAAAAUCACCUGUCAAGAAGUGGUGUACAUGCCAAGCCUGGGUUUAAAGGUCAUUGGAUUGUAGGAGGAGGGAUCAGUUGGGGGAGCUCUGGAGUGCAUGACCUCUCCUGUGGGAAGGAGAGAGCCAUCCCCAUUUGUCUAAGGUGGAGAACGCAGAUGCAGCUUGGCAGAAGAUGAGACAUUAGGGAAUCCAAAGUGUACAUUUGAGCACUUCUGGAAGAUAACCAGCUAAAAUGCACUGAAAAUGGGAUUAUCAAGAAAGAAAAGGUUUUUCAAGUAAUGAUGGCCACAGAUCGUGGUCACUAUGCUAAAUCUAACCCCUACAUGGAUUCCCCCCAGUCAAUAGGCUUUCAAGCAACAAUCAGUGCCCCACACAUGCAUGCGUACGCUCUGGAGUUGCUUCAUGAUCAUCUGUAUGAUGGGGCUAAGGCACUUGAUGUAGGUUCUGGUAGUGGAGUCCUCACUGCUUGCUUUGCAAGAAUGGUUGGUCCAAAUGGGAAAGUCAUAGGAAUCGAUCAUAUUAAGGAACUCGUAGAUGACUCUUUGAAGAAUGUUAAGAAAGAUGAUCCUACUUUGCUUACCUCAUCAAGAAUAACACUUUUAGUGGGUGAUGGAAGACGGGGAUAUCCAGAAGACGCUCCUUAUGAUGCUAUCCAUGUUGGUGCUGCAGCAAGUGUAGUACCACAAGCAUUGUUAGAGCAGUUGAAACCGGGUGGGAGAUUAAUAUUACCAGUCGGCCCCCCAGGAGGAAAUCAGAUGCUGGAGCAACAUGACAAAUUAGAGGAUGGCAGCAUCAAAAUGAAGCCACUGAUGGGAGUAAUAUAUGUGCCUUUAACGGAUGAAGGGUCUCAGUGGCCAAGGUGGAAAUGAUUUUCUACAUAAUCUUUCUUCCACUAAGAUGAGCAGGUAAACUGGCAACAAAGGGAGUAGUUUAUGCCAAUCUAAGGGAUGAAAUGUGAAGCUUCAUCUGUGUUCGGAUUCUUAUUUGUGGAGUGGACAUCUCCAGUUCUAAACACCUUGAAACCAACAGCAUUGCAGCUUGUUUUGAACUUUUUAAAAAUACUUAAUGCUGGUGUGUAGCAGUGCUCUUUUAGCGGCCUAACAAAUUAAAUCAGACUGGAGGAGUACUGCUUUAAGAGGCUUUAAAGAAAAAUACUGGAAGACAUCUUACAUGUCUUGAUUUAGCUUUUAACUGGUAUAGGAAUUGAAGCUAAGACUUAACAAAACAGCAUGGCUGAUUCAUUCAGUGUAUCCACCUAAGGUUUUGUUUGGAUAUGCAAUGUUGUAUUGUGUUCAAAUCCUUCACUAUUAACAUGCAGAUUUAUUCUGUGCACCUUAUGACACUACAUGCUUAUGAAAUGUUCAGCAUACAGAUCACAAAAUGCCUCUUAAGACAAUUUUAGUGAGCUUCCCACCAAGUGUUGAGUUGCAUUAAUAUCAUCUCACCGAUUCUCCUUUUUCCCUGUAACUCUUACAUCAUAAUUGUAUUAUAGGCAGCAACAACAAUUCAUGUACAGAUUUGAACAUAUUGAUGCUUUUCAAAAAAUCUGAUGUUCUGUGCUGCUGUUCUGUAAUUUGUGUUGGUUCAUAACUGAACUUGGUGGCUACAAUGUAACAUGCUGUAUAAGCUUAAGCAAUGCUGUAUGGAUAUUAGGAAGAUACCUGGACAAUGUAUGCAUUAUUGCUUUGCCAAAUAAAUUUGAAAUGCACAUAAAA
Molecule: RNA transcript, 1753 nt
Organism: Callorhinchus milii (elephant shark)
Lineage: Eukaryota; Metazoa; Chordata; Chondrichthyes; Chimaeriformes; Callorhinchidae
Gene: pcmt1
Gene name: protein-L-isoaspartate (D-aspartate) O-methyltransferase
Exons: 11
Source: RefSeq, a predicted model, not a curated record